RNAcentral lists this ribosomal RNA (1342 nucleotides) under uncultured bacterium. RNAcentral's name for it is "bacterial SSU rRNA". It matches the Rfam family "Bacterial small subunit ribosomal RNA", at positions 28 to 1381 of the family's 1533-position model. The record is from RNAcentral.
GAUGAACGCUGGCGGCGUGCUUAACACAUGCAAGUCGAACGAUGAAGCCCAGCUUGCUGGGUGGAUUAGUGGCGAACGGGUGAGUAACACGUGAGUAACCUGCCCUUAACUCUGGGAUAAGCCUGGGAAACUGGGUCUAAUACCGGAUAGGAGCGUCCACCGCAUGGUGGGUGUUGGAAAGAUUUAUCGGUUUUGGAUGGACUCGCGGCCUAUCAGCUUGUUGGUGAGGUAAUGGCUCACCAAGGCAACGACGGGUAGCCGGCCUGAGAGGGUGACCGGCCACACUGGGACUGAGACACGGCCAGACUCCUACGGGAGGCAGCAGUGGGGAAUAUUGCACAAUGGGCGCAAGCCUGAUGCAGCGACGCCGCGUGAGGGAUGACGGCCUUCGGGUUGUAAACCUCUUUCAGUAGGGAAGAAGCGAAAGUGACGGUACCUGCAGAAGAAGCACCGGCUAACUACGUGCCAGCAGCCGCGGUAAUACGUAGGGUGCGAGCGUUAUCCGGAAUUAUUGGGCGUAAAGAGCUCGUAGGCGGUUUGUCGCGUCUGUCGUGAAAGUCCGGGGCUUAACCCCGGAUCUGCGGUGGGUACGGGCAGACUAGAGUGCAGUAGGGGAGACUGGAAUUCCUGGUGUAGCGGUGGAAUGCGCAGAUAUCAGGAGGAACACCGAUGGCGAAGGCAGGUCUCUGGGCUGUAACUGACGCUGAGGAGCGAAAGCAUGGGGAGCGAACAGGAUUAGAUACCCUGGUAGUCCAUGCCGUAAACGUUGGGCACUAGGUGUGGGGACCAUUCCACGGUUUCCGCGCCGCAGCUAACGCAUUAAGUGCCCCGCCUGGGGAGUACGGCCGCAAGGCUAAAACUCAAAGGAAUUGACGGGGGCCCGCACAAGCGGCGGAGCAUGCGGAUUAAUUCGAUGCAACGCGAAGAACCUUACCAAGGCUUGACAUGUUCUCGAUCGCCGUAGAGAUACGGUUUCCCCUUUGGGGCGGGUUCACAGGUGGUGCAUGGUUGUCGUCAGCUCGUGUCGUGAGAUGUUGGGUUAAGUCCCGCAACGAGCGCAACCCUCGUUCCAUGUUGCCAGCACGUAAUGGUGGGGACUCAUGGGAGACUGCCGGGGUCAACUCGGAGGAAGGUGAGGACGACGUCAAAUCAUCAUGCCCCUUAUGUCUUGGGCUUCACGCAUGCUACAAUGGCCGGUACAAUGGGUUGCGAUACUGUGAGGUGGAGCUAAUCCCAAAAAGCCGGUCUCAGUUCGGAUUGGGGUCUGCAACUCGACCCCAUGAAGUCGGAGUCGCUAGUAAUCGCAGAUCAGCAACGCUGCGGUGAAUACGUUCCCGGGCCU